Molecule: ribosomal RNA, 468 nt
Filed under: uncultured bacterium
Lineage: Bacteria
Description: partial 16S ribosomal RNA
Rfam family: Bacterial small subunit ribosomal RNA
Source: RNAcentral
GACGAACGCUGGCGGCGUGCUUAACACAUGCAAGUCGAACGGAAAGGCCCUGCUUUUGUGGGGUGCUCGAGUGGCGAACGGGUGAGUAACACGUGAGUAACCUGCCCUUGACUUUGGGAUAACUUCAGGAAACUGGGGCUAAUACCGGAUAGGAGCUCCUGCUGCAUGGUGGGGGUUGGAAAGUUUCGGCGGUUGGGGAUGGACUCGCGGCUUAUCAGCUUGUUGGGGGGGUAGUGGCUUACCAAGGCUUUGACGGGUAGCCGGCCUGAGAGGGUGACCGGCCACAUUGUGACUGAGAUACGGCCCAGACUCCUACGGGAGGCAGCAGUGGGGAAUAUUGCACAAUGGGCGGAAGCCUGAUGCAGCAACGCCGCGUGCGGGAUGACGGCCUUCGGGUUGUAAACCGCUUUCGCCUGUGACGAAGCGUGAGUGACGGUAAUGGGUAAAGAAGCACCGGCUAACUACGUG